Molecule: non-coding RNA, 73 nt
Organism: Halocaridina rubra (Hawaiian volcano shrimp)
Lineage: Eukaryota; Metazoa; Arthropoda; Malacostraca; Decapoda; Atyidae
Source: the annotation of a GenBank genome assembly
GCCUGUUAGUUCAGUUGGUCAGGACACUGCGCUAAUAACACAGAUGUCAAGGUUUCGAUUCCCUUUAGGACCA